This 156-nucleotide ribosomal RNA is filed under the name Morchella semilibera. RNAcentral's name for it is "5.8S ribosomal RNA". It matches the Rfam family "5.8S ribosomal RNA". From Rfam's summary of the family: 5.8S ribosomal RNA (5.8S rRNA) is a component of the large subunit of the eukaryotic ribosome. It is transcribed by RNA polymerase I as part of the 45S precursor that also contains 18S and 28S rRNA. Functionally, it is thought that 5.8S rRNA may be involved in ribosome translocation. The record is from RNAcentral. Lineage: Eukaryota; Fungi; Ascomycota; Pezizomycetes; Pezizales; Morchellaceae.
AACUUUCAACAACGGAUCUCUUGGUUUCCCACAUCGAUGAAGAACGCAGCGAAAUGCGAUAAGUAAUGUGAAUUGCAGAAUUCAGUGAAUCAUCGAAUCUUUGAACGCACAUUGCGCCCUCUGGUAUUCCGGAGGGCAUGCCUGUUCGAGCGUCAU